CCUACGGGAGGCAGCAGUGGGGAAUAUUGCACAAUGGGCGCAAGCCUGAUGCAGCAACGCCGCGUGAGGGACGACGGCCUUCGGGUUGUAAACCUCUUUUAGUAGGGAAGAAGCGAAAGUGACGGUACCUGCAGAAAAAGCACCGGCUAACUACGUGCCAGCAGCCGCGGUAAUACGUAGGGUGCAAGCGUUAUCCGGAAUUAUUGGGCGUAAAGAGCUCGUAGGCGGUUUGUCGCGUCUGCUGUGAAAACUGGAGGCUCAACCUCCAGCCUGCAGUGGGUACGGGCAGACUAGAGUGCGGUAGGGGAGAUUGGAAUUCCUGGUGUAGCGGUGGAAUGCGCAGAUAUCAGGAGGAACACCGAUGGCGAAGGCAGAUCUCUGGGCCGUAACUGACGCUGAGGAGCGAAAGCAUGGGGAGCGAACAGGAUUAGAUACCCUGGUAGUCCAUGCCGUAAACGUUGGGAACUAGAUGUAGGGACCAUUCCACGGUUUCUGUGUCGCAGACUACGACAUAACGUUACCCGUCCGUCGGGAGGUACGGCCGGCGACGGACGUAAACGUUAAAGUUAAGUAAGUUAGUUACGGUCGUUGAGACGUUCGCGACGACGACGACGAGGAGGAGG
RNAcentral lists this ribosomal RNA (623 nucleotides) under uncultured bacterium. Its description in RNAcentral is "bacterial SSU rRNA". The stretch from base 1 to 526 matches the Rfam family "Bacterial small subunit ribosomal RNA", at positions 338 to 873 of the family's 1533-position model. The record is from RNAcentral.